This 497-nucleotide ribosomal RNA is filed under the name uncultured bacterium. RNAcentral describes it as "partial 16S ribosomal RNA". It matches the Rfam family "Bacterial small subunit ribosomal RNA", at positions 28 to 507 of the family's 1533-position model. The record is from RNAcentral.
GACGAACGCUGGCGGCGUGCCUAAUACAUGCAAGUUGAGCGAUGAAGAUUGGUGCUUGCACCAAUUUGAAGAGCAGCGAACGGGUGAGUAACGCGUGGGGAAUCUGCCUUUGAGCGGGGGACAACAUUUGGAAACGAAUGCUAAUACCGCAUAACAACUUUAAACAUAAGUUUUAAGUUUGAAAGAUGCAAUUGCAUCACUCAAAGAUGAUCCCGCGUUGUAUUAGCUAGUUGGUGAGGUAAAGGCUCACCAAGGCGAUGAUACAUAGCCGACCUGAGAGGGUGAUCGGCCACAUUGGGACUGAGACACGGCACAAACUCCUACGGGAGGCAGCAGUAGGGAAUCGUCGGCAAGGGACGAAAGUCUGACCGAGCAACGCCGCGUGAGUGAAGAAGGUUUUCGGAUCGUAAAACUCUGUUGGUAGAGAAGAACGUUGGUGAGAGUGGAAAGCUCAUCAAGUGACGGUAACUACCCAGAAAGGGACGGCUAACUACGUG